UUUAUGGAGAGUUUGAUCCUGGCUCAGGAUGAACGCUGGCGGCGUGCCUAAUACAUGCAAGUCGAGCGAACAGACGAGGAGCUUGCUCCUUUGACGUUAGCGGCGGACGGGUGAGUAACACGUAGGUAACCUACCUAUAAGACUGGGAUAACUUCGGGAAACCGGAGCUAAUACCGGAUAAUAUUUCGAACCG
RNAcentral lists this ribosomal RNA (193 nucleotides) under Staphylococcus hominis subsp. novobiosepticus. Its description in RNAcentral is "partial 16S ribosomal RNA". It matches the Rfam family "Bacterial small subunit ribosomal RNA", at positions 1 to 188 of the family's 1533-position model. The record is from RNAcentral. Lineage: Bacteria; Bacillati; Bacillota; Bacilli; Caryophanales; Staphylococcaceae.